This 402-nucleotide ribosomal RNA is filed under the name uncultured prokaryote. Its description in RNAcentral is "bacterial SSU rRNA". It matches the Rfam family "Bacterial small subunit ribosomal RNA", at positions 355 to 774 of the family's 1533-position model. The record is from RNAcentral.
UAGGGAAUAUUGGUAAUCUGGGAAACCGGGGACCAGCCACGCCGCGUGCGCGAUGAAGGCCUUCCGGUUGUAAAGCGCUUUUUGAGAGGAUGAGUAAGGACAGUACUCUUAGAAUAAGCCUCGGCUAACUACGUGCCAGCAGCCGCGGUACAACGUAGGAGGCGAGCGUUAUCCGGAUUUACUGGGCGUAAAGCGGGUGUAGGGGGUUUGAUAAGUUGGAUGUGAAAGCUCCUGGCUUAACUGGGAGAGGUCGGUCAAAACUAUCAGACUUGAGAGUGGUAGAGGGAGGUGGAAUUCCGCAUGUAGGGGUGAAAUGCGUAGAUAUGCGGAGGAACACCAGUGGCGAAAGCGGCCUCCUGGCCCAUUUCUGACGCUCAGACACGAAAGCUAAGGUAGCAAACG